Molecule: long non-coding RNA, 1031 nt
Filed under: Astyanax mexicanus (Mexican tetra)
Lineage: Eukaryota; Metazoa; Chordata; Actinopteri; Characiformes; Acestrorhamphidae
Description: lncRNA (ENSAMXG00005006474.1)
Source: RNAcentral
UCUCCCCUUCCUUCUACUUCUUUCCAUUCCUCACUCUCUCCAUUUAUCCCUCUUUCUCGACAUCCCUUCUCUCUCUUUCUAACCCCUCUGUCUUUACCUCUCUCUAUUUCUCUUUCUAUCCUUCUCUAUUUAUAUCUCCAUCCCUCACUUUUUUCUGUCUGUCCCUCUCUCUAUCCCUCUACCUCACUCUCUCCAUCCCCUCUCUCUACCUUCCUCUCUCUUCCCUCCAUCUGUUCCUCUCUAUUUAUAUCCCUCUUUCUAUCCCUUUCUCUGCCCCUUUAUCUAUCCCUGUCUCUCUGUACAUCCUUCUUUCAAUCCCCUCUCUCCAUACCUCUCUCUGUCUCUUCUUAUCUCUCUCUCUUUCGGUCCACUCUUAUAUCCCUCUCUCUAACCCUCUCUCACUCUCUUGUUCACUCUCCAUCCUUCCCUCUCUCUGUCUCUCUGCCUCUCUCCAUACCUGUAUUUCUCCCACUCUAUCUAUCCCUCUUUCUCCGUCCAUCCUUCUUUCAAUUCCCCGUCUCCCUCUAUGCCUCUCUCUAUCCCCCUCUCUCUCUGUCCCUCUAUCUAUCCCUCUCUCCAUACCUCUCUCUCUCCAUCUCUCCCUUUUCCUCUCCCUCUACGUCUCUCCAUCCCUUCUCUCUCUUUCUAUCCCCCCCUCUCUCUAUCCCUCUCCAUCCCUCCAUCUCUCUCCUAUUCCUGUCUAUCCAUCUCUCUCUCUCUCUUUAUCUUUUUUUCUCUCUCUUGGUGUGUUUAGUCUGAUUGCAGGUUUACAGCUGAGUUUUACCCGCCGUAACUCUCCAUUCACACCUCCACUAAAUGCUUAAUUACUAACGCUAAUGACUUAAUGGAGUUAGGGAGAGAUUAACGAGCUUAGUGUAUACACACACAAACACACACAAACACACACAAACACACACAGAAUGCACUGCACACUGCUAUAAUGACCGAACAUUUGUUUUGGUUACCUGUGCAUAACUCUCGCAACACACAUUUAAUACCUGACGAGAAGCAUCGUGUCUUUUUAAUCUCGU